CAGUCGCCGCGGGAAUACGAAGGGGGCUAGCGUUGCUCGGAAUUACUGGGCGUAAAGCGUGCGCAGGCGGUGAUGUAAGACAGUUGUGAAAUCCCCGGGCUCAACCUGGGAACUGCAUCUGUGACUGCAUCGCUGGAGUGCGGCAGAGGGGGAUGGAAUUCCGCGUGUAGCAGUGAAAUGCGUAGAUAUGCGGAGGAACACCGAUGGCGAAGGCAGCCCCCUGGGCCAAUACUGACGCUCAUGCACGAAAGCGUGGGGAGCAAACAGGAUUAGAUACCCCCGUAGUCCCUGUCUCUUAUAC
RNAcentral lists this ribosomal RNA (301 nucleotides) under uncultured bacterium. Its description in RNAcentral is "partial 16S ribosomal RNA". It matches the Rfam family "Bacterial small subunit ribosomal RNA", at positions 509 to 807 of the family's 1533-position model. The record is from RNAcentral.